Molecule: ribosomal RNA, 459 nt
Filed under: uncultured bacterium
Lineage: Bacteria
Description: partial 16S ribosomal RNA
Rfam family: Bacterial small subunit ribosomal RNA
Source: RNAcentral
CCUACGGGUGGCAGCAGUGAGGAAUAUUGGUCAAUGGGCGAGAUCCUGAACCAGCCAAGCCGCGUGAGGGAAGACGGCCCUAUGGGUUGUAAACCUCUUUUGUCGGAGAACAAAACCCGGGACGUGUCCCGGACUGCGUGUCUCCGAAGAAAAAGCAUCGGCUAACUCCGUGCCAGCAGCCGCGGUAAUACGGAGGAUGCGAGCGUUAUCCGGAUUUAUUGGGUUUAAAGGGUGCGUAGGCGGUCCGUUAAGUUAGCGGUAAAAUAGCGGGGCUCAAACCCGUCGAGCCGUUGAGACUGGCGGACUUGAGUUGACGAGAAGUACGCGGAAUGCGCGGGGUAGCGGUGAAAUGCAUAGAUAUCACGCAGAACACCGAUUGCGAAGGCAGCGUACCGGCGCCAGACUGACGCUGAGGCACGAAAGCGUGGGGAGCGAACAGGAUUAGAUACCCUAGUAGUC